UUUCAGUUCUGUAGUGGCAUCCAUUUAGUACCAAAGUCCAUUUAUAUAUAUUAUUAAAAAGAGUGCACUAUGCUUCUCUCAGAAGUUUGAAGAUGGUAGGCAACAGCCAGCUUUUCAUGGAGCAGAUAGAUGUCCAUUUCCAUAUAUAUAUAUAUAUAUAUAUAAGAUAAAUGAUAAAGAUGGAAUUGGUGCUUUAUCCAUUGUGUUAGUCUUAAUAGCGGUGUAUUAUGAUGGAGAAGAAGAUGACAUGUCAAAUCAGCCGCCUUCGGAGACGAGAAUGGGAAAGUUAAUGUGAGAAACCUGAAACAGGUGAUGGUUUCUUCUCCAUUCGUGCUCUCAGGAUCUGCAUUUGCUAGUAAAAAGCUUGGAUCGUUCAUGACACCGAGGAACAACUUUUUGACGACAUCUUCUACCGACGAAAGCUCGCGGAAGCUACAUAGAGUCGAGCAACAGUUAACCUUAGAAUCUGCUCUGCAACAUUGAUUUUAUAGUACCACUACAACUUGUACAGCGACUCGACAGUAACGAAAGGCAACGCAAACGCACGCCAAAAAGGCAGGAGGAGAUGAGAGAUGAGUCCCCCCACUGGCACGUCUCCACUCUACUUUGGCGGGCUUGUCGUCUUCGUUCUCGUCGCCAAAUCUGCUUGGGUGGGCCCGGCGGCGUCACAUUCUCAAGGCAGCACCAUAAAGCACGAGAUAGAAACUCGAGCCGUGCCAACCUCUUCUUCCACGAGCUCUCCUUCCUCCCUGCUUCCUCGGCGGUCCCAUCCCCAUCAAGCCACCCCGCCUCUUCUUUAAGUGUCAACCUUGCUUACCGCAAAACCUUCCACCGGUUCUUCCGUCUAAGCUUGCCGGGGUCGAGGAGCAGCAGCGAUGAGCCUGGAAAUCGAGAGAGCCGCCUCCUUUCUCGCUGACCUGGAAAUGGGGUCGGUGCUGGCGGCGGAGCCUUCCCCGGCCGGCGCUGCCCCGGCGCUGGUGCUGUCGAGCUCGAUGGACAAGAAGAAAAAGAAGUACGUGAAGCAGGUGACGGGGAGGCACAACGACACGGAGCUCCAUCUCGCGGCGCGGCGCGGUGAUCUGGCCGCCGUGAGGCGGAUCCUCGGCGACGUCGUUGCCCAGGUCGCGGGAAUGACCUCGGAGGUGACGGAGUUGGAAGCGGUGACCGCGGAGAUGGUGUCGGCUGUGGUCAACGAGACCAACGAGUUCGGGGAGACGGCGCUCAUCACGGCCGCCGAGAAGGGGCACCUUAGCGUGGUAGCGGAGCUGCUCCAGUAUUCAGAUAAGGAGAACAUCUCGAGGAAGAACCGAUCAGGGUUCGAUGCUUUCCAUGUGGCGGUGAAAGAAGGACAUCGAGGUGAAAGCCUUUCAUCUUCUGCGCUGCCUCUUCGGCCUCCUUUUUCUUCUUCCCUCUUGCUGACUCUUUUCACACAGACAUCGUGCAGUUACUUCUCGGCCAUGACCCAACACUCGGCAAGACGUUUGGCCCCUCAAACGUGACGCCGCUUAUAUCUGCGUCGGCGAGGGGCCACACCGAAGUGAUCAAGCAGCUCCUCGCUCAGAAUUUUAGCAUGGUGGAGGUGGCCAAACGCAACGGGAAGAACGCUUUGCAUUUUGCUGCCAGGCACGGCCAUGUCGAAGCAGUGAAAGCAUUGCUAGAUAAAGAUCCACAACUAGCGCGAAGGACAGACGUCAAAGGCCAGACUGCACUGCACAUGGCCGCCAAAGGAACAAACCAUGAUGUGAUCAAAGCACUCGUGGAUUCUGAUCCCGCCAUCGUUAUGUUGCCUGACAAAAACGGGAACACCGCCUUACAUGUGGCGACGAGAAAGAAGCGUGCAGAGGUAGAACCGACAUCCGAUCGUUUCUGCAUCGAAUAAGCCUUUCUUAUAUCUGAUCGUUCUUCGUUUGUCUUUCCAGAUAGUGAAUCUGCUGUUGCUUCUCCCGGACACGCAUGUCAACGCACUGACAAGAGACCACAGAACUGCGUAUGAUAUCGCGGAAGAGUUGCCUCUCUCCGAGGAGUCAACGUACAUCAAAGAGUGUUUGUCUCGCUACGGUGCGCUGCGGGCAAAAGAGUUAAACCAGCCUCGAGAUGAGCUUCGGAAAACGGUGACGGAGAUCAAGAAACACGUGCACACGCAGCUUGAGCAGACCAGGAAGACGAACAAGAACGUUUAUGGGAUCGCGAAGGAGCUGCGGAAACUACACAGGGAGGGCAUCAAUAACGCCACCAACUCGGUGACGGUGGUGGCGGUGCUCUUCGCGACCGUGGCGUUCGCAGCCAUAUUCACCGUGCCAGGUGGAAGCGAAGACGACGGGAUCGCGGUCGCCGUCCAUGCCACGGCUUUCAGGGUCUUCUUCAUCUUCAACGCCAUAGCGCUGUUUACGUCGUUGGCGGUGGUGGUGGUGCAGAUCACUCUCGUCAGGAGAGAGACGAAGUCGGAGAGGAGGGUGGUGGAGGUGAUCAACAAGUUGAUGUGGUUGGCCUCGGUGUGCACCACGGUGGCUUUUCUGACCUCCACCUACAUUGUGCUGGGCCGGCGACUGCAGUGGGCGGCGAUACUGGUGACGUUGAUCGGGGGAGUGAUAAUGGCGGGUGUCCUCGGCUCCAUGACCUACUUCGUGGUGAAAUCGAAGCGCAUUCGUAAGAUCAGGAAGAAGGAGAAAUCAUCCAAGAGAAGCGGUUCUACUUCCUGGCAUCACACCUCUGACUUCUCCGAUUCCGAUUUCAAUCCGAUUUAUGCCAUCUAAAGAAGCGUGAAAGGCGUUUGUGGUUGCUUCCAUGUGAUUCUGAAACUGUACAUGAGAGCUCGAUUCAUGUCCCAUUCGUCCCGACGGGUUGCCUCUUGUUCUCGGGUAGCGUGUGCGUCCAAAAGGUUGACUGAGAACCUUGCGACAAGUCAACGAACAUGAUUCUUAAUCAGAUUAAUCUUUGAUUUGUUUACAUUGUUUAUUCCAAGUCCAUCACCGUCCUACAUCUUGUCAUCACAAAUCUUAAUGUUGAUCGAAUUAUCAGAGACUCCUCUUGCCGCUUCCCCUUCCUCGCAGAGGUGCAGACACCUCUUCGGCUUCACCUCCUCCUGCUCGUCGUCGUUCUUCUUCUCGCCUCGAUCUCUUCGUCUAUGGCGAAGAUCGAAAACCUCCCUAUCAUUUCCGUUCCGGAGUAUCUCUGCGCGAGACUUCAAAGAACCUCGCCGUGCUCGCUCUUUUCUGGCAGUUCUACAUCGUGGUGAUUGGGUAUCUGUUCUUGGCAGGAGUCGCGGUUUACGCUCCAAAUAGGAGCGCCUGUUACGAGUACGUACCGAUAUGUUGGUGUGGCCAGCCGAGGAGACAGCGAGCGUUGUCUUCUAUAUCUUCAUGUCUUAUACGUACCAGCAGUACUUUGUUCUCGACGGUGAAGAGGAAGAGGCGGCGGAAACGGUGCUCUGCGAGGAAGAAUCCGAGCUUUGAGUGGCGGUGGAUUGGAUUCUUUGUCAUGCGUACUUCCUGAUAUAAAUUGUUCAAAUUAAAAAAAAAUUCAAAAGAUUUAUUUGAAAAGAUGAUUUUUUUAGUUAUUUUGAUAAUUAUUUUUGAAAGGUCGAAUCUUUUAUGAAAAUACCUAUAAAUAAAUAUUUGAGAGUAAAUUAUGAACAUAUCUUUUUCAUAUUCUUUUUCUUUCUUAAUAACUCUCCAAGUGAUUUUGAAUUAGACAUUCUCUCAUUCUUCUUUGAUAAUUUUUUAUUGUUUGCUUAAACUCAUAAUGAUCUUGUUGAGAAGAUGAUGCAAAUAUUAUUUUUAGGAAAGUGUUUAUACAUGUUUCAAGUUUAAAUAUAUUUUCUAUAGUAUUCUUGAUCUUAUGUUUGUUAUUUGUUUCCAUAUUGUUUUCAUCAUCUUCUUUGUUAUAUUUUCCAACAGAAUCUUGAUUGUUCUUCGAGAUGCAAAUGGCAUGGGCAAUAUCAUGGAUGACAUCGAUACGUAUUCUUGUAUGCACGGAUCAUAAUAUUUGGGCUUAAUCUGUAGAUUUUUCAUGUCCCUGAGGAGGAGAGAAAAUGCGAGUUGAACAUUACGCAUGUCAUAUUUAUUCAAAUGGUUAGCAUGACUUGGGUAUAAUCAAUAGGUUACAAAUCGCAAUUGGUGGAAGAAAAAAAAACACGGAGAUUUGAAAAAAUUGCACAAAGCCGAUAUAUUUUUAUUUAAAUUAAUUAUUUUAAAAUAUGUUGGUCAAAAUAGUUGGUAAGAAUUUUGAUAAUUCGUCUUAGGAGUUUGAAUUGGAAACUCAUCACUUAUCCCUGUUGAUUGGAAACUCAUCUCUAACUAAAGAAGAGAAUUGAGUGCACCCCACACAUUAAAUAGAAAAUACUUUUUAAUUCGGAUAAUAUAUAUUUUUUUAACCAAAAACAAUUAGGGAUUUCAAACUAUAAAUAGGGAUAUCUCAUAUAACCUAAGCUCUCUUUUCUCUUUCUAAUUCUUCAAAUUCAAUUUUGGAUCAUCUCCUGACAAAACCCUUUGAUUCGUGCUACAGAUUAAUUUCCAAGUGCGAUGAGAUUAGAACAGUGGACUGAUCGUAUCCCAUCAAAUUAGACAAUAACAUCUGUGAACCCAAAGAAUGAUCAUGGAAGCCAUGUUGUCGUUUCAAGAACAAUUCUUUUCGACAGUCAUGCAAGUCUCGAGUUGUAGCUCCAGAAAAUUGUACGGUCUGGAAGGCACAAGUUUGAGGUGGUCUUUGGGAAACAGAGUAUACUAGUUUGGAAGAUUGGAAAGCUCUUUCUUCAAAGUCCUCGAUCGAGCUUGCCAAGUAGGCCGACAAUGAGAGAGAGCUUGUCCCCUUCAACUUCUUUGACAGUAGCAGGCGACACGCUUCGUCUCUCUCUCGUUCCUUUUGCCGGGCCUGUCGGAUUUGGUGGAUGUCAUCGUUCGGAGAACAGCCCAGGAUACAUGACAGUAUACUGCCUUCUUCGCUUGGUGUAUUUAUGUACGUAAGAGGCACGAGAUUGGAUAUCCAGUAUGAACUCAUGCCAUGUUGGGAAGAACAGUACAUCAAAACUUCCCACCAUGAGAGUCAACCGUGUUAAUGGGGAGCAUGUUUUGUUGGACGUGACCUUACCGUCGAAGAUGAGUGUGGAAAGCUGAAUCGAAAUAGCGCUCGUGGUGCUCGUGUCUACCACUGAAAACGAGAAGUUGAACGCUUCUUCCCGUGUGGCAGACAACACAUCAGCUUUUCUAUCUUGUCCUUGUUCUUUGGUAGUGCUAAUUAGACGCAAUCGAAAGCUGAAGUUGUCGGUGAGAAGCAGCAGAGGAAGGGAUCGCAGCCAAUCUGCUGCGUGAUUACCCGUCUUCAAAGCAUCCACCUGACAGUUCUCACCGAGCAUGUCUGUUCUGUCUGGGUUUACCUUGUGUAUGCUUUGACCUUGCUCGCUCUUCAUCUUCUUCCUGUCCUCUUUAACUACAGUCAAGCUUGUACGUAUGUGGGCAAAUCAUGCAGACCUCAAGUCAAAGAGUUGAAUGGUCUAAAGUCUUGUUUGUUGCAGAUGUCCCCACUUGUAGAAGGAGAAAGGAAGCCGAUUCCUUCGGACCGCUGCCUUUAUAUGCCACUCUCUCUUCCACCACCACCUCAGCUGUUUCUCGCAUCAUCUCGCUGCGGAACUCUGUCGUUGCCCUGCUUGGAGCAAUGGACCGUCGGUCGUCGAAGGAAAGGAGGCCGCCGCCGAAACGAGGUCAGGUGAAAGCUCGUAUCUUUAAGAUCUUGAUUCGGUUCGUCAGUGCAAUCACUUCGGGGAGGAAAGGAGAAGGCUCAUUGCGACAAGGUAGUGACUCAUCCUCCACCUCUCCGGUUCGCGAUAGGCACAGCCAUGAUGAUGCCAAAGACAUUGAGGCUCAAACUUAGCUUUAGGCCUUUGAUGAGAUGAGGGCAACGUAGCCAUGAAAACCAAGUCUAUGAAGGAUGUCCAGCUUGGAUAUCAAUGAUAAGAUGUAUUAGCCGAAUCAGAAUAGAGUGAAUCAUUGUAGUCAACUAAAAUAAAGAAAGAAAAAGGUGAACCUUGGCGUCUAGGAAGCUGUCAUCAUGGCCAUGAAUUGUCAUAGCACUGUGACCCUACAGCAGACAGAUCAAACAGGAAGAAGAAGAAUGAACUCCACAAAGGCUACAAGUGCAACAGCAUAGGCAGAUGCAGCGAGGGCGAUGCCACAGGUGUCGGUCUGACCAAUCACCAUCCAUCGCUUCAUGGGAAAAGCCUCUGUUAGCGUACGUACCAUAUUCCACAAUACAACAGUCCACCUGCUUGUGUGUGUAUGUGUAAAGCUAAUGAGACGACAGUCCACAAUAGCCUCCCUUGUUUGUUUUCGCUCUCUAGGCUUAGUCUGUUCUGCGAUUGUACACCGGACAAAAGAACUCUGCUUUCCAUGCCACAGAAGAAAAAGAAGAAAGUAACAAAAGAUGAUGCCUAGCAGUGAUCCUAAUUAAACAGCCUACCAAAAUUAGUCAGACGCAGUGCGGUCCUAUUAUUUAUUUGUCCUUUGCAUUUGGGGAACAGUUCUAAUUCUUUCUCUAUUGCUCUCUAAAUUGAGUGUGCUCUUUAUGCACACAGGACUUUGGCAGACAAAGAAGUACAAAGUCAUGACCCAGUAAUCCUCGGAAGGGAAACCCUCGCCAGGGAAAAGUCACGUUAUCUAUCGUAAGUCUUACACAUCACACAGCUGGAAGCCAAUGACAGGGGGCAAGAAACUAGGAAGGAAAGAGGAGCACAGCUUUCUACGACCCCACGCCACGAGCAGCAGAACGAGGUACAGUCGUAGUGGAGAGAAUAGGCAUUCCUCGUAGAUAAGCGAGGCAAAGUAGUGUCAGACGGCAAAAGUGAAGCCUACCCAGCGUUUAGCUUUGAUUGCUAUGCCCACCUUUCUCGGAGCCAUGGGAGCUCCUUUUGAUCCGUCGAAUCUAUCACCUGGCACGCAGGAGUAAACGCAUCAUACAUACCCUAUAGCUUAUGCGAGAAUGCAGCAUAACAAAGACUGCAGCGCUAGUGGUGGUGUCUGUGCGUACUCAGUGUCUGAGAAAGUAGCCGGUGCUCGCUGGAGGAGGGAAUGGCAAGUGAUGGGAGAUUGGAGGAGGUGGCGGAGCCGGCAGCGGUGGAAGCGCAGCCACUGUUGUGGCGUUGGAGAAUCCUGAUGAUGCUGCAGACGUGACUAAUGGCAACAGAGUAGGACCAUGCAUGUGCCACGCCCAGCCGGGAAGGGAUCGCAAACCCACCUCGGGCCUCUGCUCUUUCCCUCUUUCCUGUAUCCACGCAAUGCUGUCCGUUAGAUCAUACCAGCAAGCAUGAUGAAGCAAUACACGAAUUUUGAUGAACACGACUAUCAAUAGGAAAAAGAUGAUACUAAAGUAGACCCACUAACUAAUAAUACAAACGCUGGAAGAUGCUAAAGAACGGGCAGCAGCUAGAGACCAUAAGAACAAGUGGGGCACUCCUGUAACGCUCAGGGCAGCAUAUGUGCCUAAAAUGCCAAGGCCCUACAUGUUCUCGUUAUCUAAUAUUAACUAAAAAGUCAUGAAGGUAGUAGAACAAACGUUUGACACAAAAAAAGCUGUUUGGAGUCUACUAUCUAUAAUAGUUGUCAUGCACUAAUGUUGGAAUAGAAUCACCACCAUACCGAUAAAAAGCAUCGGCAAGAAGAGCUAGAGGAAAUGAAUUUUAAGCAAUGUUUAUGUUAAGAGAAGGAAAAAGAGAAUCAGUAGUCAUAUGAACAUACUCCGCGAUUCUAGAGGUAAAAUGGCGAGCAAAAUAAUUAUUAGGUUUUUACCUCAAUUCUGGGAAAGUAGCCUGGGUAAGCAUUCCACAAAUGGGGAUGUUGAGGUGUCAUUGCGAAACCAGGGACAACAGCCGGAUGAUUAGGACUGUCAGGCUGCAACAGCAACCAAAAAUGAAUGGCAUAUCAGUGUCACUGAGCAUCUAAAGAAUGGAUGCAACACCAAAUUAAUCAUAUCAUUGUGGCAGCAUGCCAGAUUAUUUCACAUACAUAAUAGUAUAAUACACAUGCAUUUACGGGAACCCUUGCACAUUGGACGUACAAAACCCAAGAACAAGACUAAAGUUGGAAAAUAGUGCAUCGAUAAUUGUCCUGAAGAUGCUGAUUCCAGAAGAAAAUGAAAUGAAAAUAACAGUUUGUUACUUUAAUGUAUAUUGUAUAUUUUAUAAAAUAAAUUUGCUUGGACGCUAUGGCUUGUGGUAGUGGUUGUUUAUUUCUGCUUUCUUGGAAAUUCACUUAGACAUCUAGUGUACACCAAAAUGAUGCACGAAACAUGUGGCUAAAUAAUAAUCCUAACCGAUCUUCCUUCCGUAAAAACUUUUGCACUUUACAUCCACCAACAUCAGCUUCUAACAUACUAAUCCUUUGCCAUUUACUAAAGGUACUUCAAUUGGACCAUUGGUACCAUAAGAAUUUUCCUUGUGAGGGGACUUCUAAAGGACAUUAUCUAAGAAAUCUGUGAAUGCAACGAAAGUAUUGCUGCUAUAGCAGUGAAGAGGAAUCAGGAUGGGUAAGAAGAACAUCAGUGCGAGAAUAAACAUUUAAAGCAACUGGCUCAUCUAAGGACAAUUUGUAAACUCAACAAAUCAAGACAUAUUCAGAAAUGCAGAUGGUGGAAGACUAUUUACCUGAGCAUUUCCAGUUUCCGGAACUUCAUAUGAGCCGUGACUGAAAUUGGUACCAGUAGAAUUGCCAUCACUCUUUGUGCUAUGGAAGUUAGGCUGAGAAAUCCUCAGGCUUAAAUCAACAUCCUCGAAGGCAGCUAUCAGAACAUGAUAUCAGCAUCAUGUGAAGAUUACCCAUAAUCGACAAAAUGUACAGUGAAAAUAACUUGGGCCAUACAAAACCACCAAGAAUGGUUACUGAUGACACCUUUGUUUUCAGGCUCAGGAAGUCUCUCUCCUUCAUAGAGGCUUGACUCAAAAUUGGUGAUUGCUACCCUUCCAUUCCAUCUGAUAGCAGCCUUGUCAUAUGCCCUAAAGGUCAAAAAGUUAAGUGGAAAAGAAAAAAGGAACGUUAUACAGUUCAUAACUCUCUGAGGUAAACGCUCAUAACAGAAUGUCAUUAUUAAGAAUUGAGAAAGCAGACCUUGCGGCCUCUAUUUCGCUGUCAAAUAAACCAAGAUAAAUAUACCUGCACAGAAAGAAAAUUUGUGUUUAAAUAUAAACACCGAGUUCAAUCUCAUCUUUGAGAAGUAAACAAGUUUUUUAAGGGAUGAGAUGUCUCUUUGUUCAACCUUUGCACCUACUGCUAAUUUUCUUGAGACUACAAAGAACGCAACCACUUCUAUGUAUCUAUAUAGCAUCAUAUAAUUGUUUGAUUGAAACUUCCGCAAACAAAUUGUUUUUCUUUUUAUCUACAAAUAUAUUAAGGGCUAUCAAAGAAUUUCCUCUGAGAAUGACAACUUUGAAUAUCUAACUUUCCUUCCUCAUAUUUCACUUUCAUCCACCACAUUUUUCCCAUUACUUUUCCCGCCCUAAGAGCCAUUCCAUGACACAUUUUACUUCUAAUGCAUAUAAGGUCAAUAACUUGCAGGUGGUUCCUCAAUUUAAAAUAGAAGCAAGGCCUUGAAUUCAAAUACACAAACCACCUAACCGAGAGUAGAUUUUAUGGAUAUGAAACAUAAGUGUAUUCCAGAGCAAGAAAUCAAGAAAUACUACGACAUCACACUUUUUGCCGAGGAACUGUCCCAUGCGAGCCUCCCAUCUACCACACUUGUGAAGAGUCACCCCUCUGUACUUGGAGCUUCCCCUUGCAAACCCAGUGCUUUGACGACGAAGUAUAUGCACAAAUUCUUCCUUGGUCAGGUUUCUCAUCUGAAAUAAUACAACAUAGACAUCCUAAUUUAACCGUACCAUGUCUUUUAAGAGAGACGGAUCACAUCAACACCCACAUAUACCGAGUUCUGGGAUUACCUGGUUCAAAUCCUCGUCGUAAUCAUUAAGAUCAAAGUUGAUGUCUGCAUCAAGUCCCCGAAACUUGAUAGCGGCGCGAUCAUAUGCUCUGCAGUCCAUUUAAUAAAUGCAACACAAUCCUUCCAAACCAUGAACUACUCGAGCAGUAUAUAUACAGGCCAUCAAACAUUUUUCAAGGAGGAAGGGAAAAGAUGUCAAACCUUGCGGCAGCAUGAGCGGUGUCGAAGCCUCCUAAAGUUGCAAUGCAAACAGAGCAAAAGAGUUAAACCCCAAAACAUAAAGAAUUAACAAUCUUUCCUCCGUUUAUGUGAGGAGAGAUGGAACCUUACCCAGGUAGACUUGCUUUCCACAAUCCCUGCGCAGAAUUAGAGGUAGUAAGGAGCACAGCACAUUAAACUAGAACACGAUGGAAAAGAGAAUACGGAUCAGGACGAAGCAUCUGCUAACCAAAUGUGGGAUUCCCAUCUCCCGGUUCUCCUGUAGAAGGUGACUCCGCGAUACUGCGAACUCCGAGACCUCGGUCCUCGCCUACUCUUCUUCACCACCUCCUGCUGCUGCUGCUGCCGAUGCAGCAAAACCCUCGCCUCCGCCUCUGCGGCGCAACCCACCGUCCGCUCCACGAAGCCAAGAUCGCCCGGGCGGGAGGUCGAGCUAGAGUUCGCGGCCACCGGAGGCUGAAACGUGGACGCCACCACCGUCGUAGGAAGCAGCGGCCACGUGACGACGCGCCGCUCCGGCAAAACACCACCCUCAUCCUCACCGUCAUCAUCAACAACAGCCGGCUCGGUGGGGCACCUAAGGUUGUCGAAGCAGAGGGAGGCGGCGCCGCUGGUGGAGCGCAAAUCCUCCUCUUCGGCGGCGGCGCUGCUCGACGCCUCAGAUGAGUUGGAAGCCCAUGCGGCCGACUGACAGGGAGAGACGACAUUUAGAUCAAACUCUAUCUUCGCCUCCAAUCUCUCGUGCGCCAUCGAUGCGACGCUUCGCCGCGUCCGAUUCAAUACGACAAGUUGCAGUAAUCAGAACGGAAUCAGAAGGGAGCGAGCAGCAAACUUCCGAGGAGGAGGAGGAGAUCGACGUGGGAGAGGAUCCGGUCCAUUUGGGGGUUGCUUCUUCUCGGAUGGUGGGAGGCGGAGGAAGAGGGCCGGGAUCGAGACAAAAAGAGGAGUCCUGUGGGGAGCGACGCCGACGUGAGAAUCAGCCCGAGUGGCAUAUAUCAUAUCACUUCCAUAAUAUUACCGUUAUUAUAUUCAAUAUAGCUCUUAAUUAUUUUUUAUAUUUCCGAAUUAACAAAAUGUGAAUUAAUCUUUAUUUUUUUAAUGAUAUAUAUAUAUAAUUUUAUAAUUAAUAUUGGGAUGGAGUCGUCGAUAUUCUGUUUCCUCUUUCCCACGUUGCAUCGCAUGGGCCCAUGUCACGUGCGGCGGCCGCCAGGUGUCCCGUGAGCGCGCGUUUCGUGGCCUGCUCACGUUUCCGUCGUUUGAUGCCAGGAAUAAUGCGUGAUUCUAUAUCAUAAAUCAGUCGAAAAACCCUAAUGGAAGACGAAUCGAUCUCAUAAACCAAUUAGGGGAUUUUCGACUACCUUCUCCGGCGAAAGAGACGUGCCAAGCGAAGGAAAAGACCUUCCAGAGAAGGUCUACUCCCUACCACUGCACUCUUCUUCGGAUAGCCCUGAAAAGACUGUCCCUGACAGAAGAAUGGUUUAGGCAGAGGUUCCCUUGAUUGAGACGAAAAGAGAGCACUGCUUAGAAGAAUCUGAAUCCACAUUCACUAUCGGAGAAUAACGUGUGAUGUCGAAAGUGAUCAGCUACCACCGCAGCUUUAGAUGAAGCAACAAUGGUGACUUCUUAUUCCUUGCUACCGCAUACCGUUGGUCUUCUUCCCUAAUCCUCACAAAAGUACCUUCCGCUUCGGCAAUGUUUCGGUCAAUGGCAUGGCAAUCUGGUAAUCCAGGAAAGAAUCCAAGACAAUGAGAGUGGGGAGAUUGGUUCCGCCAUUGUGUCAAUCGAAGAAAGUAUUGAUGUGGACUGCACGCACUCAGUAGUUUAAUAUUAUGGGGUCGAUUCAAUUCCAUGGCGACUGGUCACAGUGGAAAUGGACUGUGACAUAUUCCGAACCUUUCCAGCGAUCUCUUUCCUUUUGAAUGGGGGUGAUGAAGUGAUCCAUAACUUCUGUUCCGUCAUCAGAAAAAUUCCUCCUCUUUACCUGAUGUGCCUGUCUGCGGGGGCAGGAUCGUACCUCUGAUGGCGUCUGAUACUGUCGUUGUUUGUUGCGUGAAGAACCGAAUUACCGCAGGGCAUGAGCAUACCUCAAUCAUCGUUCUUCUCUGCCUCGGUCAAGUAUGUUGGGUCAAACGACGACGAAGUCGUUGUCUAAGAGCGGGUGACAUCAAGAACCGAAUUACCGCAGGGCAUGAGCAUACCUCAAUCAUCGUUCUUCUCUGCCUCGGUCAAGUAUGUUGGGUCAAACGACGACGAAGUCGUUGUCUAAGAGCGGGUGACGUUAGUAUUAUUGUCUUCUUUGGGCAGAGUAUCGUCCUGGCGUGUCACGUUACCAUUUAUUAUCUCCAUCAUAUGCUAAUUAAUUUAAUUAUCCAAACAUCAUCAUAUUAAUAUUUUAAAUAUAAAAAAAUAUUGUACGUUAUCAGGAAAUCUCAAUCUUUGGUGUGCAGACAGACGUCCAAUUGCGAGGAAGAUAAUAGAAGGACAAGCGUGGACUUGGUAAGAGAAGAAGGCACUGCAGAAGCGGAGGCUCUGAUCGUAAUUAUAUGCAAACAUAUGGGCGGGUUGUUGUUGGUGGGGGGCAUUUCAUUUAAAUGACGGACCCUCGAAACGCAGCGGGCCAAAUUAACGACGAAAUAAAGGCAAACAAAUAGAUUAUAAAUUGAUCCAAAGAACAACGGGGAGGGGGGGUGCAUUCUUGUCCUCGUUGUUUCCCCCUUCUCUCUCCCGAGAAUCCGCGGCGCCUUCGAGUUCGGCGUCUCGAUCCUCCCCCUCUCCAAUCCCUCGAUCUCCCCCGCCCACCCGAAUCAGGUAUAUUAUUUCACACAACUCUCUUGAUUUUAUCUGUUUUCUGCGGUUCUGUUCGUUUUCUUGAAUUUUAUCACCCGCGAUGCUUGUAUCCGAUCAAUCUUGAAAUCUUUAUUCGGAUUUUUUCGGGUUCGUGUUGCGUAGGGGAUGAAGUUUUUGGAUUCGGAUGCAUCUUUAGGGUCGCUUUCUUUUUUGCGGUUGUUUUGGUUGAUCGCAUCGGAGAGAUUUGAACUGGUCUAGGAGAUUUUGCUGGAUUUGUAAGUUGGAUCGUUUUAAUUGUAAGUUUUCUUGAUUUCAGGAUUUUGUUUGUUUUUUCGGAGAUGGAUUUGAUUGAUCGAUGCAAGAAAAAAAAGGGUGUGUUUAGGAUUUAUAGAAGACGGGUUUGUGAUUUAUUUUCUUAUCCGUUGGAUUUGGUAAUCGAUCAACGGAUUGCUCAUUUUGAUGUUUGCUUCGCUAUUAGUCGGCUUGAGAAUUUUGUGUUCCUUGAAGCACGAGGAUGAGUGACGACGGAGAAAGGACUUGCCCUCUGUGCGCGGAGGAGAUGGACCUGACCGACCAGCAGCUGAAGCCUUGCAAGUGUGGGUAUGAGGUACGAUCCCUAUUAUGCAAGAACCAUUCAACUUCUAUUGCUUGCAAGUCCGACACUCCUUUGGAACAUCAAGGAACAUACUGCUUGAUAUGUUUUCGAAAUCUAUAUAUUAUCAUCCAGCCUUGUUCAAAUAUAUGCAUUAUCGUUAAUAAGAAGGAUUGUAGGUUUGAUGCCGUUUGAAUUUUCUUUAAUGUAUAGAUUUGUAUCUGGUGUUGGCAUCAUAUAAUUGAAAUGGCUGAGAAAGAAGACACAGAAGCUCGGUGUCCAGCAUGCCGCACACCAUAUGACAAGGACAGAGUCCUUAAAGCGGCACCUGCCAACUCCGAGAGGUUGCCUAUUGCAUUAUAAUUAUUCUUCUCGCUACAUUUAUCUAUCAAAUCUAUUUAUUCUUUUUUUCCCUCAAACAUACUAAUAGUUUACAAUGAAAUUUUGCUUCACCUGGGGGCAGGAUAAUAGCUGAGAUAUUUUCUGAGAAAAAACAAAGGCCUCAAAGAGCAAAGACCAAGAUAUCAGCAGAAGCUCUGAAGCAUCUUAGCGGUGCCAGAGUGAUGCAAAAGAAUCUUGUAUACAUAACUGGGUUACCUUUUAAUUUAUGUGAUGAAAAUGUAGGUGUAUUGGCAUUUGUACAACUGGGAUCAGUAUAUAUGUAUACAUGGCCUCGUGAUAGGUUUCUCAUGUUUCUACAUCAGAUUCUUGAGCGCAAGGAAUACUUUGGCCAGUAUGGGAAAGUUUUAAAGGUUUCAAUUUCUCGUGCAGCUGGCACUUCUUCGCAGAAAACAUCAACUAACAACACAUUUGGCAUGUAAGUCUCAUCGGACUCAGUUACCAUGUUGUUUACUUUGCUGGGAUGUGAAGACAGAUAUACUACCACCAAAUUGUCUAUAAAUAGAGAAAAUUAAUUGUCAAUACUGUAGACAUCUAUGCUCCAAAUGAUAUCAACAUGCUCCUCCCAGAUUCCUUCUUUGUUUCCCCUCCUUAAUCUUUGAUGGAUAUCACAUUUUGAUGACUAAGUUGGCCUGAAAAUGAUCAGUGGAUAUCGACAAGUUAGUAUUCUCUCCUAGAUAGCUAUACCAUGCUUUACUUCAAUCAGGUGCCCUGUUUAAAAUUACUUUUGGUUAUUUUUUUGUAUUCUUGGGAUGGUUUGACUUAGGGCAUCAGUCCUCACACCUAACAACCUAGGCUUUGGGUGGCCUCUUGACUGAUCUUGGCUUCUUGCAAAACAUUUGUCAUAGUGUUUCAUUUUAGGCGUCUUUUGCCUUCAAGAUAUGUUCUAAUUAUUUUUUUCAGAAGAAUAUGUUAUAUACAGAUCUAGGAUGAGUAAUCUAGGUUUGUGAUAAUGCAGACCAAGCAAAUAGUUAAUAUAUGAGUAAUGAUAUUACUAUUUAAUUUUAAUAAAAUUAUCAGACAAUUAUCAGGCUAUCAUUAAUCUGUGUGUAGAUCAUAAUGUUGUUUUUUUUACAAAACUUGUACAAAAAUUUGGUGUUUGAUCUGAUAUGUGUGUUGAAUUGGACAUGUGGCAUAAGUGAAAAACAACAAACUAAGAGAUAUUCACUAAUUUAAGAGGUGCAUUCAUGAAAUAAGAAUUAUCUUAGCUUUAGGUUUCCAGCAUAUGCUUUUCAUGGUUUCUCCAUCAUGGACUAUGUUUGACUGUUAGACAUGACCUUUGUUGGACAGUUAUGUUACAUAUGCCAAGGAGGAAGAAGCUGUUCGAUGUAUACAAGCUGUACAUAAUUAUGUGUUGGAAGGUAAAUCCUUGAGGUAAGUACAUGAAUUGAAUUUCCAUUUUGCAGACUUGUGCAUAUUAUCAUAUAAACGUCUCUGAUUUUUGGCUUUCACCAGAGCAUGCUUUGGCACCACAAAAUAUUGCCGUGCAUGGUUAAGAAAUAUGGUAAGCAGAUUGCUCAUCCAUGCUCUCCUAUGUUAAUAAGUACAAGGUUUUGCUGUCUACUAGAAUUGCACGCAUUUGUUUGUUUUUAUUGAGGUGUUGUGUUGAUUCAGACCUGCAGCAAUCCCGAUUGUCUGUAUUUGCAUGACAUAGGUAGCCACGGGGAUGGUUUUACAAAAGAUGAGAUGAUUUCAGCUUGUACAAGGUAUUUUUUUUCCACACCUUUUUGCAUGCGGAUGGUGAUUUUUCUGAUUGUUAGUAUGAUCAAAUUUUGACACUCCAUGUUAUAACCAACACAAUCAUAUUGUUGUGCUUCCAUCCAGAAAAUAUUUGAGAAACUUGUUUAGUACUUCGAAUUCUGCCUAGCCAAAAAUUGUCUGGUGAACUUUGUAGGAGUUAUGUAUAUUGUUGGGCUGUAAAUGAUUAAUUUAGUUGUGUUUUUCCUGCAAGCAGUUUCGGGUUGAGGUUCCUGUUGCUGCCCUGAUGGCAGCAUUUGCCUGACACUGCCAUACUAAAUUAAUGCAUAGUGUUUAUCAGAGAUGCUUAGUGGGCACAAACUUGUUGUGCUAUAUCAUUCGGAGUUUGUGACACCUUUGUGGAAUACUGUUGACCAAGGAAUCAAGUAUUGGUUGGACCACAAUGUAUUCCUUUAUGGAGUACUGAUAACCAAGGAAUUAAAGACUAGUUGGACUGGCACAUACUGAUCAAUGUUUACCUGUUGGCGUAUUGGACCAUGUAGAUUGGUUGGUAUUUAUUUAUUUACUAUCUUUUCGAUGAUAUUGGACAAUUUAGCUGGUCCUGCCCAGUGUACUGGUACCAUACUUAUCUGACGAGUAUGGGUCAGCAAGAAUUGGUUUAUUCAUGUUGGGUUCAGCCAAUUCCUGCCAGUUCUGCUGUUAGUCAUUUGGUUUAACAUGGUAACAUUGCAAAUUUGUUUAUCUAAGUCACAAAUUGUGUAGACUCUUUUGUCUAGAUUUGGGUUUGGGUACCAGAAAUAACCUUUUGGAUUAAAGUAAUUGUUGCUGUACUAAUGCAACGUGAUAUUUACUAUAAAAUAUAGAAGUUAGAGUAAUUAUGGGCUUCCAUCUUGGCAUAGUAUGUAGCAGCUAGAUGCAGGCACAAGGUUUCACCUUAGCCAAGGAAUAUUUGAGCCCCAGUUAUUGGUGAUUGGCCAACGGUUUGUGCCUUCAAGGUUUUAAAAGUCGACGGGAUCGAUUUGUAGCAAGGUUCAUAACUUCAUGCACUGGUACUACACUGGUAGGGAUCAGACCGUAUACGACGGGAUUAGGAACCUUGGACUGUACAACCCAGUAAAUAUUUACUAGUACGAUUAAUACCAACACCCAAACCAGACAAUAUCACCGGUCUAGUUCAGAAUCAGUUUAUUUAAUUUUUAUUUGUCUUGACCACAACAAUCAUAUUUUUUUAUUUUUAAUUUCCCCAUGCUCCUUCCUCUCACGCCAUGUGCUUGUUGCCUCACCAUUGCCUGCUGCUUGGCUGUCUCCGGUACUCCUUUGGACCGAAACUUGAAUCCUUGUUGUCUUUUAAUGCGAGAGCUUUAGGAUAUCGCAAUCAUAUUUGCUUAGUGCCAGGUGCAGCAUUCAGACUAAGCUGAGGUGCAUCCCACAUAUCAGACCACACGGAGAGGUUUGUGGACUUGCUCUUUAUCCAAUUAUUCUACAAGUCCAAAACUUGUAUAUAUUAAAAAUGUUCACUUCCUAAUUGUUGAGGUUGACUACUCAAACCAUAUGUUCAGAUAUAAGCUUAUUUGGGUGUCACAGGAAGGAUGCACCUACAUUGUUGAUCAAUGUACAAUCAUUUGCUUGAGUUAAACAUUGUGCAUUUCAGACUAUUUUACAGCAGAUGACAAGUCAACUAUUCUCCAUAAUUUUUUGUCUUUACUUUUGGCAUAUUAUUUUAUGCCCGUAUACUUGUCUUUCUUAUGAUUGACUUUGUUUCACUAAUGGAACUUCAUGAGUAGGGUUCCUCAAAUUACUUCUUCCAGUUCUCAACGACGUUUUGGAAAUGUUUUGCCUCCGCCAAUGGAUGACUUCAACAGCAGAUUAGGCUUGGACAAGCAUCCAGUCAAGAGGACCUGUAUUGUAAGCCCAUAUUUUCCUGAUGCAAAGGACUUUGUGAGAUAGGAUCAGCCACUCUUUACAGUGAUAUUAUGCACAUCAUGCUUUUAUGCCUAGGUCUCAUUCUCCCUCUCUAUAUUGACUUAAUUUUUUUUUUUUAAGAAUUCCUCAAUCCAGGUUAAAGGUUCUUCUAAUAUUAGUGCCGAAAAGUCCAAUGCUUUACCAGCAGCUGCUUCAUGGUAUGUUUGUUUUUGUGCCUUAUCUUGGCAAUGGUCAUUUUUGCUAAUUCUAUGAUCAUAUGCAGGGGACUUCGUGGUUCAAAUUGCCAGAUUUUGGCUUCAAGUAUACAAUGCUCUCGAACACCUGCGAUUCAAAACACACAGGCUAUAAGCAAUUCAUCUUUGCCUUCUUUAUUGACGACAAGCACAAAGCAACCUUCAGCACGGGAUGAUGAAAUGCUUAUAACAUCAAGGGUACCUGAAAGCAAGGAAGAUGUUCAUUCCACGUCCGGGUCCUUGGAACCUUUACGACUUGAUACUCGGGCAGAUUCACCGCUGACUUCAUCUUUAGAGACAGUCAAGAUUGUUGAUUUUUCUUUGAGAUCUUCAUUGAAUGACAAUGCCAUUGUAACAUCAAAGCCAGUGGAACAAAUAAAAAUGGCAGAUUUGGAUGACAGGUCUAGUCCGUUAGUGUCUAUAAGAUCUGACUUUGACAGGCAGCAGCAAACACUUUUAUCAUCAACUCAGGUGGCCCCGGUCAUGAUUGGUACCUCUCAGGUUUCUUCAAGUUGUUUAUCCGACACUCUAGCAGUAGCACUUGAAGACAAGGAAAGAGGUAGUAUUUCAAGUGGUAGUGACUCAGAGCCAAAAAAUGCCACCACUAUUUCUAAAAGUACCGUUAGACAAUUUGGCAACUCCAAUCAUGAUAAAGUUAUUAAUGGUUCUGCUAUUGUCAAUGAUGAUAUGCAGAGCUUUCGCUUAGGAUUUUCUUCAGUUAAUAUAGAUGCCCAUUCUGUGAAAAAUCAGUUAAAUAUUGACCAGCAUCAAACCUCAGUCUCUGAUCUCUGUUCAACUGAGAUGCUCAGCAGUCGAGAUUUAAAUUUGGCCUCUGUUACAUCGAGCAUGAUUAAAUCAAUGGAUUUGAAUUCUGAACCCCUAAAGCAACAAUCAAUCUCUAUAAUGGAUAUGAUGAAGGAUCCCGUGAAAUUGCAGCACACACAGUUUUCACCUUGUGGAGGUCACCCACAAAACAGUACAAGUCAGUCAAAUUCUGCUCCCUGGAGUAUUGGACUUGGAAAUAAACAACCCCCAUUUACUGAUGGUUCUUGGGACAUGGAUAGAAAAAUUGAGGCGGCUAUGUGUUCCAUAGGAGACGACGAAUCUGUAAUACAUGAUGGACACAGCGAAUAUGUUAUAAACUCAAAUUCUUCAAGCAGUAAUGGUUCAGAGUGUCCUGGGUUCAACUGCAUGGAAGAAAAGACGAUACCAGUAGAUAUGAUUGAUAUAAUUAGUAGUAACAAUGAUGCUUGUGUAGAUAAAAAGCAAGAGAGCAGCAUCAUUUCAGAUUUAUUGUCACUAGAUUUUGAUCCAUGGGAUGACUCAUUAUCCUCAGCUAACAAUUUGGCUAGGCUGCGUGGUGAAAUUGAAGAAAACAAUUGUUUAAAAUUAUCAAGUUCAUGGAAAUCCCUAAACAGUGACCAGUCUAGAUUUUCUUUUGCGAGACCAGAAAGUCAAGCAAUCCUUUUAGAACCUGCUAGAGAAAUUAGUGAUGCUCAGAGACUUCAGUCCUCAUCACGAGUUUCACAUAAAGAUGGUUUCCAGAAUCGAGUUCAAUCCAAUGAUUUUGAGGAUGUUGAUCUUUUCAUCGGUAGCAACACUUUGUCUGAUAGGACUACUGGUAAGUAUUUCUUGUUUCUAGUCUCUAUAGCUAUAUCUUUCAUUAUAUGACACAAUAAUAUGUACUUAUUGUGAAAAUUAUUGUAUUAAAGUUUCUUUGGUUCAGCAAUUUUCAUUCCUUCAGUAUCUUUUUUAGAUUACAUCAUGGUUGUUGUUUCUUGACAUUUGGUGUAAAUUCUCUUUGGCUAUUAGGAUUACUUUAUUUUUCUUUGUUCUUUCUAGUAUUUGUUCAACUACAAUCUGUUGAUAUCAUUUAAACAAGUGAUUAGAAUAUUUUUUACUUAACCUUUUCUCUUAUAAUCUAAAAUGUGCCUCUUGUGCCAUCCCUCCUCCCUUUUGUAAGGAAAGUUCUAUGGAAGUAAUUACAUCACAGUUGGUGAGAAUCUUGCUGUUUCGUUUCUAUUCAUCAUGCAUUAUGGCCAUGAUUUGCUAACUUUAAUUGGAUACCCUUUCUAUUCAUUGCCUCAAUCAUUUCAUGAUGUAUGCAUCUCGGGUCAAAAGAGAAUACAAGCGUGACAGAGGCUGCUGGUUUGAACGUACCAGCUACUUGUGCUCAAGGAUAACUAAAGGUUUUUGGCCCAUAUGUGAAUCCAUAAUGUAACACACAUUCACUUAUUACACCAAUAGAAUGUCCUGUCCUAUGCACGAGCUAGAGAACUCUAGUAUAUCUUGAAACAACAUGCUGAAAUGGCUUUUUUGCACCUUUCUGAUCUUCUGAAUGGUUUGUAGUACUUUGCUGCAGCUAAAAUUUGGUGCUUAUUUUUGGUCUCAGCACCAUAGUGGGUGGAUCCAUAUUCUAAUAUAUAGUUGUGAGCAUUGAAUGGGUACUAAAAAUUGACUGUGUUUUGUGUUAGGAGUAUACAUGUUGAGUGUUAUUCAUAUUCUUGUCAUGCAAUGUUCAUAAUGUUUUUGGAGAAAUAGUGCUACCCAUUAACAGUUAAAGUGAAUGGGAUUAUGGGAGAAGAAAAUUGAGGAUAAAUCUGUUUCCAAAGUAGGGCUGUGUAAUUGAACUGAUAAACUUGAUCAAUCCAACUGAACUUAUGCACUUAGAUUUUGUGCAGGUUUUCAUAUUGAGUGUUUCAGUUGAAAGGAUGGAGAAGGAACAACUUUCAGUUUGCAUGGUCUGGGUUUAAGAAAUCACUAUUAACCAAAGUGAACUGAUUGCAUAUAGUCAUAUGUGUAAUCAACUGUGGUAAUAUAAAAUUCAUGCUCAUAAAUAGGGUAUAACACCUAGUAUAUAUAAGAAAUAUAGAUGCAAUGCACCUUUUCCUUAGGAAUUUGAUACUUUAAACUGUAAUACAUAUCUUUAGAAUAUCACCUGUUUUCGAAACUGAAUAAGAAACCAAACUGAAUGAAACAAUUCAGUUUCAGUUUGGCUUGGUUUGUUCCCCUCUAGUUUAGAGAAGCUUAAAUUAGAAAGGAAUGAUAGGAAAGGAGAACUACUAAAGAAUUACUAAAAUGGCCUAUCUAUUAUUAGCUGUUUAGAACUCAAACAGAUCCAUGUCCAAUGUCAAAAGUUGUUGGUUGGAAAAAUGCAGAUCAAAAUAAACAUGACAGAUAUUUGUUCUCAUACACACGUGAGAUUCUAGCCAAUCGACUUUCAGCUCUACUUGGAUCUAAGCUUUUAAAUUGGCCCUACUUGUAUCUUAGUUUAGAUCUGAACUAGUGGAGCUUUACUUUUAAAUUAGCCCUACCCGUCUAAACUUAUUGUCCAAUUAUUAUGUUUUUUCUGCCUUUGAAGUCUACUAGUUCACUGCUUUUCUGUUUCUAUAUGGCAGAAAAUUUACUGAAUAUUAAGGUUUUUGCAUGCACAUUCUAUGUUUCCAGUUAUUUCAGUUAAAAUAUAUAUUUUAAAUCCUAUACUUGUUGGAAGGUGUUUCAAGGGCCAAGAUAACAGCUCCACCUGGAUUCUUGGCUCCAACCAUAUCGUCGCCUCCGGGGUUUUCUUGUCCAGACAGAGGUAACCAGGAACAUGACAUGACCUACUUAGGUUUGUACACUUUGUGAUGCUUGUUUUGAAAACUUUUCACCCUUCUAGAAAAUCAUAUGUUUGGCUGUUUUUUAGGUGGAAAUCAUUAUCGAUCACAUUUAGCUGGAAGUUCAGGUGAUGUGGAGUUCAUUGAUCCGGCGAUAUUGGCUAUUGGUAAGGGACGGAUACAUCUUGAACCAAAUAAUUCAACAUUGGGGUUGAAAUAUUCAUUUCCUGCACAGUUUAGCACCCCCAAUAAUGAUCCAAGGCUUCAUUUAUUGGCUCAGCAAUCAGUUUCUUCUCCUCAGAACCUGGGAAUACCAGAUCAUAUGGGAGAAAGAUUCUUACAGUUGAAUGAUGCAUACAUUGCAUCUCAACUUUUGGCACAAAGCCAUGCUGGUAUUUCUCCAAUUAUGCAGUUGUCAUUCCAGCAUUUGAGAAAUCCACUCUUUUCAAAUAGCCAGUGGGAUGCCUGGAAGAGUGUAUGCCCUGGCAAUAAUAUAGGCAUGAGUGAGAAAUUCAGGAAUGGGAGAUUUGGACUUAAUGACUAUUACACAAGCACUGACGAAAAUAAGUUCCACAUACCAAGUGCAGGUAAUCUGUAUAACCAGGCAUUUGGAAUGUAACGCUGAUCUGUUGCUGUGCUGCUCUGACCUUGUUAUUGUGAAAGUGGAUAUCUGACAAUGGAUGACAGUCAGUUUUACAAUCUGAAAGCUUAAUAUUUGGACAAUUUCCAUCGACAGGUAUGCACAUUUUUACAAUCUGUAUGGAUUAACUGUGGGGAAUGCUAUCUGGUGAAGGUGCUUUAAUAACAUAUCUAUAAACCUGAAAUGUUGUUAAUGUCAGCCAUGUUGUGCUGUUUCAGUCCGAGAGAUCUCUCAACUGCAUAGAAUCUUUGGAAUCUCUAUGAUGCACUUCUUAACUAUAAGGACCUUCCUUAAAAUGCAUGCUAGUUUGAUGGUCAAAUAGCUUAAGAGAAAGACAUUUGGCAUGGAGUUGCAUGUCGCCAUCUUGCUUUUAUCUUCUUGUGUUAAGAUUUGUCUAGCUGUUUUUUGUUUCAGUGGUGUAUUGGUUGACGUUAGCAAGAACUAACUUGUCUAUAAGGUGUCGUUGAAUAUAAUAAUGCACAGUCGCAAACUACUUAUUUUUUAAGACGAGAUGCUGAGCAUGUCUACAGUAUUAAGAAGCAUAAAUAUUAUGAGGUUGGCCAAGUGUAGCAAUGUAGAAAUGAUUUCAUAAUUGGUUGAGAGUUUAGUACACCAAAUUGUUCAUUUUUCAGCCUAGUGUGCAGGGAUUGCACAAUUGUUUUCACAAAGAAACUGGUUUCUACUCCAUUCAACUUGCAUUAGAGAAUAAGAUCAAGAUCUAUUUUGCUGGAGUUUUAUUUUUUGACAUUCAUUUUACUUUUGAAACUUCACAUGGAUUUAUGCCUUAACAGAGGCGACAUAUGUACUCAUAUCAAGUGGACAGCAAAGCUUGUAAGUAUAUCUUGGCCCCUAUCUACUAGAUAUAUACCAGUAAAGGGUUCAUCAAUUUAAGGACAUUUGUUAAAAAUCUCACCAAGGACAUGAUCACGGAGAUAGCUGUCCAUAUGGCAAACAUUAUUGAUUUUUUCGUUUUUUUUCUUUUUUUUGCAUAGUGUAAAGUGGAGAAGGCGGGAUUUGAGUCUAGGACUUUGCGAUUAUUGAAGUUAUUAUUAUGUUCCCAUUUCACAAUUUUAUUUUACUUCAUUAUUAUCGAUCUGCUUUCUAGGAUUGGCUAAAAUUGUUACGUUAGAGUUUCCUUCAUAUCUGCAGAAUUAAAAAGUGUAGUCCAAUGCAAAUGGUAAGUUGGGAAUUUGAUUUUUAAUAUAUAUCACGAAUGAUAUCUGCGGUGGACUGUCACAGGAUUUAAACUAACACUAAAGCGCGUGUAUAUAUCUAUCUAUAUUUAUACACCAAUGAACUCUUUGCAUUUGAACUAGUGUGUAGAAACAGAGCUACACUGCAUGUUUAUGGUUGUGAACCUCAUUUAAAUGGUUGAAUUUUUUUUGUAUUACUAUUUUUUUUUCUGCUUGCUGUCUGUUGUUAUCUAAUUUAUGUGAAGCAUUGAUCUCUUCUUUUCAUAAUGGUUAACCAUGACACUAUAAUGUUUAUGUUGAUUUUGUUUCUGAUUAGCUGAUAGGUGUGUUUUGGUUAUCUUGUAUUGUUUGUUAUUUUUAGCAGUAAAGUAAUGUCUAUGAUAUAUUCCAAGCAGGAACGCAUCAGUUACUGAGCUUAAUUCUUGUGACUAGUUUCUUGAGCGAUGAGGCAUUAGCGAAGGGCUGUCAUCUUGAUGUGUCUUGUUGUGUUUGCUCUGCCUCAGUGGAGGUGUGUCUUGUUGUAUUUGCUCAGACGUGGAGGAUACUGCUGCAUUUGUAUGGGGUUGUUUUGAAGUUUCUGACUCUACCUUGAAGAUCUUCAUGUAAAUACAUGUAUUUUGUUUUUGUUGGCCCAUAUGAUUUAUUGGCCAAAGUAAUUGUAUAGCUGGGAAGAGUGAUUCUCACAUUGCGGUACCUUGGUGCUACUGUUUGAUCAUUUGCAUAAAUCUGUGCUUUGUCUACACAUGGUAAGACCCUUGAAUCACAUGGGAAUUUUCGUUGUGGAUUCGACUUUUCUCCAUUAUGACGCAAGAGGUUGGCAUAGCCACCUUUCCUGAGGUCAUCCAGGAAUCAGUUGUAGGUGGGAUAUAUUCUAAAGCGUGAUGAUGCUGAUUGGAGAAGUAGAACACCCAUCUCCAAGUCAAACCAAACAGGUUUUCAGAGAUCGGGUCCGUUGUUGGUAACGUGGAAGUGAAGGAAAGGUAAUGAGAAUUGUUGGCUUUGAUGUCCGUGUUUGGAUUUUAUUCUUGACCUUUAGAUUGGGAUAAUCUUAUUUUCAUUUCUUUAGAUUUAAUAAUCUAAUUUUCAAUCGAUUUUUUCAGGGAUUAUUUUGUUAGAUGCAAAAAUCAUUCUUCUAAGAUUAUUGCUGCUGCUGUGACGAUUCGAUGAUUAACAGGUUGUGAUGAUAUCAAUGGACUCACAUGGUUUUUUCAUCUUACUAGUGAUCAGUGUUCGCAGCAACAGUCUCUUUUUGUUCGCAACUCAGCACUUGAGCAACAUGUAACUCUUCUUCCUGAACUCAAACCGUUCUUAUAUCAUAUAUAGAGCUUGCUUGUUUUCUAUCAGUCAACAGGAAACAGCAGCUGUUGGCACUGAAGCCAGUCAACAGUGUCUAAUGCUGAAAUGGCUACAAGGUUUUAAGCUGCUGUAGUUUUCGGGAAAAUAACCAGAAAUUGACAUGUUUACACAAGUGUAUAUCCAUUUCCAGCUUCCUCUUGUCAAUGUUCUUUCUUGUGUGGUAGUAUAAUGUCCAAAGUGUUCAACAGUUACCGGAGCCCUGGUCCCAGAAAGAACUCUGGGAAAGUUACAUUCUGCUCUGGAGUAGCCAACUCCCCGGCAUUCGAGUUCAUAGAAUGAUCCGUAGAGUUCUUCGACUGUGGCCCCAUGGUGUGAUCUCCACCCAGCCUUGACCCUCGUUCUACUUCUAUGGCCCCCUGGAUCUCCUUGAGAACCUCCGUUAUUGAUGGUCUUUGUGAUCCAUGAGGAUUGACACACAUGAUGGAGAUCUCUGCAAUUUUCCACACAGACUGCACGUUGUAAUCAUCCCGCAAUGAGGGAUCGAUGAUGGCCUCGAUGUUACCACUCUCCACGUGUGACUUUGCCUGCCAUACGAUAUAGUUCGAUGUGUCAGAGAUUGGCACAUAGUAGCCACCUAGCUGUAAGAACAUGGAGAAAGAUCCAUGCCUUGACAACUGAUAUCGGCAAUAAAAAAAGAAAAAACACAAGAAAAACUGAGCUCAGUUAUAAUAUGAUAGUGACUGACCCAUGCAACAAUGUUACGGCAGUUCAGGCCAAAACUUUCACUGGAAAUUGGCUCUUGCCCUGAGAUCAGCUCAAGAAGAAUUACGCCAAAACUGUAAACAUCGCUCUUCUCUGUUAGUUGCUGUGAGGUAUAGUAUCUGCAUGUGUCUACCGUUAGUGAGUUGGAGUUCUUUCACAGCUAAGCAUUGUUAAAAGUAUCGUAUCAUACGAUAAAGGAGCACAAAUAAUAGUUUUCAAGUAAAAUAAAACUUGAAAACCAGGUUCGCAAAGAGAUUUAAAUUAUUUUCGGAUUGAAAUUACUUAGUGAAGAAAAAUCAAAGGCUUACUCAGGGUCAAGGUAUCCCACUGUUCCUCGAACUAUGCUUGAGAUAUGGGAACCAUCUACUGCAGGUUUGGAGAGACCGAAAUCUGCAACCUUUGCUCUCAUGUGCUUGUCAAGCAGAAUGUUGCUGCUCUUGAGAUCUCUAUGUAUAAUGGUCGGAAAGCAGCCUGUAUGGAGGUACUCGAUUCCUGAUUUGUUUUCAGUCGAAGGGGUCUUUUAGAUUCAACGUAAUGUGAUUGCAGUUUUAAAAUGCAAAAAAUAUUCUUAAUUGGGUUUAUAACCUUUUGCAGCAUCUUCUGCUAUUUCUAAGCGAUUGAUCCAACCGAGAUUCCGUUCAUGAGCCAAAGGUCCUGCAAAAAUUGCACAUGAACUUUUGUAUCGUAAAAGCAUUUAUUCUGAAACAAACAGGGCAGACAUACCACGAAGAUGCUCCUUCAGAGUUCCAUUUUGCAUAAAUUCAUAGACAAGAAUGUUUCUUCCAUCCUGUUGACUGUACCCAAGAAAAGUUACCAGGUUCCUGUGAUGAAUUCUAGAAAGCAAUGUGACCUGAAAGAACAUUGUAGUAACUACAAAUAAGAAUAUUAACAAAAAAGUAUCUUCUGUAUCGUAUAGGCAUGUUUUGCAAAGAACUCAUUAACCAUCUACAUUGAAAAUUCAAAAAGUAUUUUUCUUGACAAUAGCGAUGUAUAUUUGACAGUCAGUAUAAAGAAGUACCUCAUUUAAAAACUCCCGGAUUCCCUGGUAGGAGUCAUUAGUAAGAACUUUGACUGCGAUUUCUUUUCCAUCUACCAUUUUUCCAUAAUAAACUAUUCCAAAUCCUCCAGAACCAAUUCGUCUUUCAAAUUUGCCAGUGGCAUCUUCAAUUUCAGACAAUGUAUAUCGAUGGGCUGUUUCUGCAGAAACUUCACUGAAGAAAGUACCCAACUUCUGAGCAGGUUGGACAUUUGGCACAUCAUCUGAAAAGAAAAAAGAUUUGUAGAUUGUGAAUGUGAUCCUCUUAAUCCUGAUGAUAUAAUAAAGCAAAGGUUUUCCACAUGUACCUUUCGGAAGAUUUUUCCUUGUUUUGCGCAAAAACAAGCAGCAUAUUAUAAUACUCAGAAGGAACAAACAAGCUCCCAGUACAGAAAAAACAAUAAUUAUGACAUGAUACAAGUCUUUGCUUUCCUUGUGGAGGCCUUUGUUUCCGGAGUAGCUAAAUCAGGACAAAACAAAGAACAGAAAUCAGUUCAAAAUUUAUCUAAUGUGAGCAUUUUGCACAAGAAGUUUGAAAAACUAUAUCAAUUAUCAAACAAGGCAAAAAUGAGAAAAAAAAAAAGAUGGACUUCCUGUUGCUUGUGCUUCAGAGUUCUUAGUGCAAUGUUCUAGCAUAAGUUAAAAGUAUCAGGCAUGGCACUGGUCAAUCCAGCAGUGGUCAACCCACUAUAUAUAUACAUACAUAUGUACAUACAUACAGAUACAUACAUACAUAUACAUAUACAUAUACAUAUACAUAUAUAUAUGUAUAUAUAUAUACAUAUAUAUAUAUAUAUGUAAUCAUGGAAAUAAAAUAAUUUUCUUUGCAGUUUUGUCAAUAUGUUGCCUUAUUAUGCCUAAGUGCAGAUUCAUCACCUAAUUUCUAGUCCAUGUUUUGGAAAUAAACUACAAUACUUGCACUGGAUAUCUCAUGUAAUGGAAGAUAUACCCACUUGAGGAUGAUGUUUUUAUUGAGAAGCCCCUUUGGUAUUACUCCAAUCAGAUGAUUAUUCUGCACAUACCUGCAAUGAAUAUUCAUAAAGCUCUGAAAAUUUUUAAAAUGAAUAAUAUCACUUAAAUAAAAUCGGAUGAGAUAGAGAUAAGCUCUACAGAAGUAGAUGGAGAACUGUAUGGUUAUGGUGGAACUCCUACAAUAACUAAACUUCUAAUAAUAUGAAAAUGCAUAUAAUGAUAAAAAUUGCAUCCACAGCCCCAAGCCACCUAAAUCGUAACUUUAACUCGAAUUGUAAAACUUACAGUUCCUUUAGACUUGGUAGGUUUGCUAGAUAAGAAGGCAGUGGACCAGUUAAUUCAUUGUUCUCGAGGUGGCUGCAUGAAAUAAAAAAAGCAUUUUGUCAAAUUCAUGUGAAAUCUAAAGUGCAAAAUGUACAAGGCAUUAUCCCUUUACAUCUUAUUCAGAUUUACACUUCGACUAAAAUCAGGUAUUAGUCCAGUAAGUGAAUUCCCAUCAAGAUGUCUGCAGUAAAAAGAAAUCAUUCAAUAUAAUAUAAAGUAGUUUAAGCCAAACAGACAAUCCACAAUGAUCAUCUGAGAAAAUUUAUCCACUAAAUCUUACAUUUCAACCAAGCCUGCUAACUUCGACAAUUCUGUUGGAAUAUCUCCUGUCAAGUUCUUUCCAGACAAGAAACUGCAAAAAAGGUACAUCUUUACAAUCUUCAACAGUUUGGAAUACAAGAUAUGAAAGGAAAAUUGAUUUUAAUACAUGGAAAUUAUCCUCGGUUGUGGAUCUGUACUACACUGCACCCAAGACCAUGAUGCUGGUAGACAUGGAUCACCACCUUCUUGUGCCCAAUCAGACAGCGGGUAGUGUGAAACCAAACUGGCCAUGACAAUUGCUGCAACUCAUUAAACAAAUACAUCAUAAACUCAUAAUUAUAUUUUUAUGUAAGUUACAAUAUAUCCAAAUAGAUGAGUAGGAGAGAUUACCAUCUUGAGAUCCAUAAUUUAUCUGCAGGUACACAUAGAUCUCCAGCGCAUUCAAGAUUGGCCCUCUGGAUGAAUCAUUUGUUUUCUUAAACCCAAAGGAAAAGACAAACGGAAGGGAAACAUUGGUGUACCCAGGUUCGUAGAGCCGAUACUUCCCUUGAGCAUUCUCUUGAACAUUGACAGUGGGUUUACUAUAUGCUGGCAUGCCUGGGACUACUAGCUUAAAUUUUCUGGUCUCAUUUGGACUGAGUUCUUCAAUUUCUGCAAAAUAUGAAAAUGCCCAACCAUAUCCUGGAAAACCAUCUAAGUCAAGACGGUAAGUCAAGGAUCCAUUUUGACCCACCACAGCUGUCUGCAUCACUUUUUCAGGCGGCAUUUCAAAAGUACUAACGUCUAUCGGCAUUGUAGUUGAUACUCUUUCAGUUCCAGGAGCAACAUCGACAAGGUAAUUUGCUCUCCUUUUAGCAUCUGAUUCCCAUAUUCUAUCAAAUGGGUCAUCGGGAAACCUAUAAUGAUAAAAGUUUCACUAAACAAGGUUUAGAAGGCAAGUCUGCUUUUCCAGAUUUUGAAGACAAAAAUAUAUGGAACAUCAGGUUUUGCAAACAAAAAUGCACGUAUAGAAAAGGGAAUUCAGCAGAAAAGGAGUAUAUAUAUGUAUAUACAUAUAUAUACAUACUUAUAUACACAAAUAUUUGAAUUUUCUCCUCUUUACUCUACUGUGGCAAAUGUUCACACUUUCAGAUUUUACAUUAAAUGUAUAUAAGCUUUACCUAAAUGGUAUGCCAGACCUUACAUUUCUUGUUUCUGAUUAUAUAGGCUCAACAUAUAUCAUGAGAAUUCAUAAUACAAUAGUGCUAGGUGAUUUUGGUGUCUUAACAUAUUUAAUUGGUCAAGCAAUUUUUAUGCUAUCUUUUUGUCAUACAAAAGAGCAAAAUCUAUGAAUUAAAGUGGUUUUGAAGGAAAUCUCCUAAUUUGGUUGCUAUCAAAAGUGGAAAAAGUUGGGCAUGGACAGAAAUGGGUUCACAGGAGUAUUAGAAGUAUGUCAAUAUCACAUUGCUUUAAAGGCAUUGGAUUGGCUUCAAAUGAUCUCAACAAAAAGUAUUAGUUCCAAUUAACAAAAGGCAAAAGCCGGACAAGAACCAGCUAUGUUCUGGUUAGCCACCAAUUGAAAAUGAUUUUUGAAUUGGUUUUGGCUUGAACCUAGCUGAAGCUGAUUGGAAACUGACUAAAGCUGAAAUCAAUGGAAAUACAUUACUUCUGGCAGUCAUUGGAUAUAGUUAAGUUUGAUAGAACCUCGAAGGUUCUCUUGACCCAUAGCCUGAAAAGACCAUCGCUGCCAUGGUCUCCAUAAGGCCAACUGUUCAACCUACCCUUGCAGAACAUCAUAAGAAAAUCAGUGAGACGAUAAAAUUCACAGGUCUCCCAAGAUGUCAUCACCAAAGUAAUGGAAUGUUUAGAAUAUGUGUCGCGUAAUGCCAUAAAAAGACCAAAAUCAUUGAUAGCCUACAAACCUUUAGUGUCCUAUUGCUUCUUGUAUGCUUCUCUGCAAGUACACUUGUAUAUUCUUGUUCAGAAAGUUAAGUUGAAUUGCCAACCCAUUUAGCGGCACAACCUAAACUAGUAAAUACACUCCACCUUCUCCUUGUAUAUGGACUAACUAAUGAUAACUAAAUGCACUCGAUAGACUGAAUACAAAAUAAUGUGGAAAUUUUAAAUUUAAAACCAAUAUUGUCCUUUAUUGAGUUAUUUACCAUCUUAGAAUCCAACACUACCCAUUCUUGAAGUGAACAACACUCAGCAUUUGAGGAUGUACCCACAGUGUAAGGCCUUCAAAAGCUUGAUAAUAUUGAUAUGCAAGUCAAGAAAUGCAUGACUAGCAUGGAAGAUAUCUUCUUGAGCUUUCAGGUCGAUUCAUUUAUUUAACAAUCAUUUUUUUAUAUAUUUAUAUGGGGCAUUGUUGUGUGUGAAUAAACCACUACGAAAUUAGGUUGCGAUACUAUAUCUGAUCCUGCAUCCAACUAGAAAAUAAAUAUGAACAUAUCACAAAAUAGAAUCAUUGCCUUAGGACUUAUGAACAAAUCACUAACAAAAAGAAACAUAUGUUCUAGUACCUUACUGAAUCGGUACUCUCUGCGCCAAAAUUUAUUCUCGCCGACAGUUUGAGAAAGAAUUGAGUUUCGUAUAUUGUAUAAUAUAGUGAUCCAUUAAAUUGACGAAGUUCGAGUGUGGAGAUAAAUGGUUGCCCAGUACUAGCAUUAGAUAAGCAAACACUAACUGUGGGAGAAGAGGUCAAUAAAACCAGCUCUUGAACUUCUAUGGUUGCUGCAUCUGAUAUCACAAUGGUGGACCAAUACGUUGCCCCAAGAAAGAUAUCGAACUUUGGGUAAACAUUACUUCUAUCAAAGUUCCCAUACAAGAAAGUUGCUCUUACUAGGUAGCGGGUCCUCGACUUGACACUCAAUGUAUAACAGUACUUACUGCUAUCUGCCGGAAAAUAUCGCACUUUCAUAUAUUGCUUCCGGCUCUCACCAGGGAUGGAUAUGCUGGCAGUUUGUCCAUGUAUAAUGUUACUGUCCGGAGUCCACUCAAGUCCAAUAUCAUCUGUAUAUUCAUCUGUACCCCCACAGUCCAAACUUAUAAAACCUGCAUCAGAAAAAUUAGGUAAGUAGGAAAGAUUAAUCUUCACAUCUAAAACCAUAAGCAAAUUGUUCCUUACAGGGACAACAAUUUUAAUGAGACAAUAAGUUUUGUAGGAUGAACUGCAAGAGAAGUUAUCCGUCGUGUUUGACCCUUCUUAGAACAUCAUCUUGGCAAGCAAUAACAAGCUAGAGCAUGCAGAAACCUAUGCUAUCUCUUCGUUCUGGCCCUUACAAUCAACAUAGAUAACACCAGACUUAGAUGACAAAAAAAAUUGUUAUUCACAAAAGCAAAUCAAAAUCCCUUAAUUGCACAUUCAAAUUUCUUUGCUCUGGUUUAGUACAAUCAACAUGAUCUUGAUAGUUGAGAUCAAUAGUAAGCUAAAAAUUCUUUUUUUUUUCCCAACAUCUAAUCUGCAAAUCUCACCAGUAUCUUUUAAGAUACAUAAAGUUCACAAUACCCUAUCUUAUGCAAAUUAAAAUAGCGUGCCUAAUGCAUCAAGACCAAAAGUUCUAACCUUUUAUGAGAGAGAAAAUAUUAAGGUGGAAAACAACAAAUCUUUCACUUAAAUCAGAAGCGAAUGGAGCUGUUUUGCGCACAUAUUUACACACAAUCAUAAGGAUCUCUUUUCAUCCGUCCAUAAAGGAGAUCACAAACAAAAGAGCACAGAAGUAAGAAAUCAUCACCGACGGGCUCACCAAGACCUAAACAGAGACGAGCACCAAGAAGUUACCAGGCAUCUGAGCCGCCGACGAUGAGAGGAAGAGGACGAGAAGGAAGACGACGAGGAGAAGUGGCGCGGCCAUCUCUGCUCCCGAGCGGAAGAGAGUGACGAACUCACCCUCACCCUUUCUAUAUGCAUGCUUUUCCGGAGUGGAAGAGGAGGCGGGUGGUGGCAAUUAUGGCUAUCUCUCCACCAUCAUCAUCGCUUUCGAACCUGUGCGUGGCAGAGGGCAGAGGCUUUGGCGCAUUCGAGUGGCCAGUGGGGCGGAAAGGGAAAGGUGUGUGAAGCGUAGACGGUGGAAGGAAAGAGACACGGCGUGGGAUACGCCACCUGGCGACUGCCACCGGGUCCCACCAACUGCCACAUGGACCGAUGUCCUUCCGACACACUGGCGGCGGCUAAACCGCAUUAGAUUCCGGCAGUGCCAAUGUGGCUUUUCGGCUAAUUUUUCAGAAUAUACGAUGAGGAAUUCGGUAGAUUGCCGACAACAAUUAUGUGGCGGCUCUGUGCCAUCGAGAACUUGAAUUAUUGUUCGUGGAGGACAUGGCCAUACAGUCGAAAAGAAAAAGGUAGAAGAAGCGUGAGCGCUUCAUAAAGUCGGAGAGAGAGAGAGGCUCCACAAAAGGUUGACGACGAUGAUGAUGCUUCUGAGUGAAGCCAUGGAAAAGCCAUCAACUCUGAGUUAGACUGUCUUCCCAGUGGAGCACUUUGUCCUCUCUCUGGUGCGUUGUGAUGUCCCCAAAAAAGGUGAUACCUUUAGUGUCGUCCCUCGCACACCAACACACCCACUCACUCGACUAAACAUACUUACAAGGAAGUCUUCUACUGUACAACACACAGCUCGAACACAAAUCAGCAGCGACAAGAGGAAAGCAAAUCUUGCUUUCCCUUACAUGCUACCUGAUGGUGACAAACUUGUUGGUGCCAUGCCGCGCCCAGUGAUCCUUCAAGUCUACCGCGUACGACAGGUCGAAACCUUCGGCUGAGAGUCGCUGCAGCAGCUUCCCGUAUGCGCCAAUGCUCAUCUUUCUUCCAGCCAGGCGAGCGCCGGGCCGGGUGGGGCUCAUCGGAAGAGGGUACUCGGAAAUGGUUGUGGUGCAGCAGGAGGAUUGCCAUCCGCCUGACCCCCAUCUGUAGCAUUGGCGUGGCACGCCAGUACAUGAGCAAACGGGCACAGGAACGCUCGAGAUAUCAAGCAUCGUUCCCUGCUCUGCAACGCUGUCUUGAUUCUUCUUCUCGCGUUUUCCUGUGGACGAAGAGCCUCCUUUCUUCUUCGUGGGGUUGGGGAGCUGUUUCUUUGGCUCUUUCGGUCGCAAUACCUUGGCGGCGACACGACCAGAUUUCUUGGUAGAAGAAUGCUGCUUACGGAGCUUCGGAAUAGGCGGAGGGGUAGUGGCCACUUUGUCGUCUGUUUCCUCCUCAGCGAUCGGCAUGGUUUGGAUGUCGAUCAUUUCUGAACUCACUGGAUUUGCAGCAGGGUGGUCGACACAUUUUGACUGGGAGACCAAGCUUCUCUGCGGAAACCAUGAGAAGUCCAUCGUGGGUGGAUGAGAGCUGUGUGAACCAGUUGCAGGAUAGGAGCUAAUCCUAAGAGAGGUCUCCUGGUGUGCAGGAACAGCACCAGACACCGACUUCAGCAUCUUCCCUGCUUGUUUUGACUGAUCACAGAAGUCCCAAUUCCUUGUCCCCAACCUUCCCCUUCCAUCCAUGCUACUACCGAGGGUUUGAAGAGUUGAAGAACUCCAGGUUCAGUCCAUCAAAGAUUUUUGUUGCUUAUGCUCCCUAACUCCCUAAAUAUGUGCUGAAGGACUGUGAAAUCUACCUCUGGAGAUGUAACACCAACAUCAUUCAAGGAUAAAUUGCUGCGAGAAGAGAAACAUUUGAAGCCAGAAAAGAGACAAAAUGCAUUUAUAUCAAUGAUAACAGCUAUGGAUGCAACAAAUGAAAGUCCGGAUGAGCAGAACAUCGAUUAAGAUCAUCACAUCCACAAUGUUCUCACAAAAGAGAAAUCAAAAUUUUGAAGAACUAAAAUCUAAGAUAAGCUUUUAAUGGAAUCAAAGAACAAUAUUUAAGAGACUAAGUAAAUAUGGUUCCCAAAUGAAUGUUGGGUCAUAGAUUUUGUCUAAAGAUUUAUACUUUUUCAAAGAAGAAAUUAGAAAAUAAGUACAGAAACGAUGGGAAUGGGAAGAUGGAAAGAUCAACAUCGAGGAACAGAUAAAAGUUUGAGCUGAUGAGGACAUUUCAGCAACGGAAGAAAGAGGCUUAAGCAGCAUACUAACAAGGAAAAAGGAAAAAAAAUGAUUUUUUUGUUGACAGAGCAAAAUAUAAACAGAGAUCUAUGAUCAGAGACUAACUGAUUGUGAGAUCCUUCCAUCAUCCCAGAGAUCCUGAAGAAAACAAACAUUGAUAGAGGAUACUAGAAAAGCAAGAAACAGAAAGAGGAGGCUGAGAGCAGUAUGCAACAGAUCAUAGAAGAAACAAGAAGCAGAAGAAGAAGAAGAUCUUACGGAAGAGAGAAUUCCUUUACGCCUCCUACUAUCGUUCAUCUAAAAUCAAACGAAAAAUUUAGCACCGCUGAUGAUAGAGGCGGAGAGCAGUUGAGAAAGGUAGGGGGGGAGGCAAAGGAAAGGGCAGGUGGUGUCCUUUUGUCAAGCUUUUAAUGAGCACCGCACCAAUCAAGAGAGCGAAAUGAUACGUUUACCCCUCAACUGUGUCGGAAACUACAAAAUCCAUCUCGCUGUGCUGAAACUGUUAUCUCUUUGUGGGAGAGACAUGCCUUUUUGACUCUCGAGUGUGGGCCCUACCCAUUGUGGGUCCACUCGGCGCAGACGAUGGGGCGCGUCUCAGGCCUCGCAUCCUGCCGUGGUUUUCACUUGGGUGAGGAGAUCCCCUGUCUCCGCUAGGCCACAAAACACGAUUCUGAGCCACGGUAUGGCCUGAUGGCGUGGGCCCGCCCAGGGAUACCAUUGAAACGUAGGCUCGCGUGUCUCCUUUCUUCCUUUCCUGUUCAGGGCGAGACAGGUGAGUCCGUUGGGAGCCACCCCGAGAUAGACGAGACAGCCGACCGAUUCCUCUCCGCCGUCGUUGCGGUCGAUCAUUGCCGUCUUCGCCCCUCCCAUCUUCAUCCUCUUCCCCGUUAGUUGAGGUGUGACUAUCAAUUACGAUGGUGUUAGAAGAAGAAUAGGAUGGAAUUGACAGAAAAGGAUAUAAUUACAACGACGAAUGAGAGGUGAAGGCAGAAGGGUGGGAGCGCCGUUUGAUGAUAUAGAGGUCAAAGAUAAUCUCGUUAAAAAAACAUAAGGGACUAAAAAUUUAGGAUAUUUUUAAAACCUAAAUAUUUUGGUUUUCAUUUCCUUUUUAUUUUCCAAAGAACAUAUGGAUUCCAAAGUUUGAGAGAGAGGUAGCAACAUAUGGAUUCCAAAGAAUCAGACACCAAAGAACACUGUCUUUUACAUUUGAACUUUGGAAGUGUACCUCAAACUCAGAACAGUGUACUUAAAAGAAUGCAUUACCCAACUAUAAACAGCAAGCUUUGCCUUACCGCUGGAACAGAGCAAAGCAGCGAGCCAAAAAUUCCAGUCAGUGCAUAAGCAAUGGCGCAGAAGGGAAGAGCCUCCGGUUCCUUCGCUGACAGUGCUGCCGUCCCCAAUCCAUGAGCACUGAUACAGACAAAGAUAUAAGCAAUCAUCUUACACACGGCUAAACAUCUACUGUUUCUUCUGAGCCAAAGACAGUGCAGUGGAAAAGUGAACCCUGUUCCCAAGUAGCCUAGUAAUGGAGUUUGAUCACAACCUAAAGUUGAUCUUUGUGAAGCCUUUUAACUAUUUUUAUUUUUCCAAUCUAUGUCGAAGAAGAAAAAAAGUUUCCAUGCAUGCAGAAGAAAAUCCUCAGAAGGAGAAUUUUCAUGAAUUGUGGGAUUCAAUGAUGGCACUUGCUGGAAACAUGGUGAAGAAACUAUAUACACAACUAGCACGAUGCACAAGAGAAAGGUAGGAGCUAAGUGAAAGUAAUGGAUGAUUAAUUACAGGGAACAUCAGUCGAACGCACUCGAGAAAAUUGAUAGAGAAGUUUCUUUGAAAGAUAGUCACAUGCCUUCUGAUCCUUUAUUCAAUUCCAAAUAUGCAUAGGCUUUAGAGCAAUGGUGACUGAAUUUCCACUUUAAGAAUUCUAAAAUAAGCUCAGCAUUAAUUUAUAUCUCCUACAUGAAUCAUAAGAUAGUGAACUUUGUUCAAUAAUGAUUUCUUGUUCGAUAUAAUCAUGAAUACUUAAGACAUAUAGCGGUUGGUUUCCAUAGAGUGCUAGGGUUCGGAUCCUAUUGAGAGGUCCACUAGAGAUUAGAAAUUUUUGGAAAAAAAAAUAAGAUGUUUCUUUUGUCCCUUACAAGCAAUAAAAAAAAAGGUUAAUAUAUUCAAGAUAAUUAUGUAUUUACAAAUAUAUAAUCUCAAUUCAUCCUAUUUCAUUAGAUCCGGGUUGUGAUAUGGAUCCAAAGGAUGAACCGGAUAUGGACAUUUCCAAUAAGAUUUCAUUCUUAAACAAAAAUCUAUUUUUUGAUUUAUUUCAUCUAUUUCAUGAUCAAAAUAAAAAGGGAUACACGUUACACCAUGACUUUGAACCAAAACAGAGAUUUCAAGAACAGGUAAAUGCUCAAUAUCCAAGUAGGCUUAUAAAUUUGAUCAUGAUCAAGUGCUUUUUGGAUUGUCUCAUGUCUUUUGAUUGGUGUUUAUCCCCCCAACAUCUCGAUUUUUUUUACAUACAAAGAAUUUACUUGUUAGUUGUUACUAAUAAAGUCUAGCCUCUGUUCUUCCUUAGAUCUCUUAUUUCACUCCCAUAGUGACCAAGAAAAGAAAAGGUAAUACUCUUUAUCUUGUCUGCAUUUAUGGUCCAACUAGUUAGAAAGCUGUAUAAUAUUAUUUACUGAAAGAUGGUUGAACUCUUUUUUUGUUGUUACAAUCAGUUGGUCAUUGAUUCUUGCUAUUGACAUUAAGAUCUAAACAUGCACAACAUCUUAAUAAUACCUUAAAGGCUUAAACAAACUCUAAU
RNAcentral lists this long non-coding RNA (36637 nucleotides) under Musa acuminata (dwarf banana). RNAcentral's name for it is "long non-coding RNA (MACU_LNC003647)". The record is from RNAcentral. Lineage: Eukaryota; Viridiplantae; Streptophyta; Magnoliopsida; Zingiberales; Musaceae.